CGGGACGUAGCGCAGCCUGGUAGCGCACUUGCAUGGGGUGCAAGGGGUCGCGAGUUCGAAUCCCGCCGUCCCGACCA
Molecule: transfer RNA, 77 nt
Filed under: Burkholderiales bacterium
Lineage: Bacteria; Pseudomonadati; Pseudomonadota; Betaproteobacteria; Burkholderiales
Also listed under: 3 other names
Description: tRNA-Pro
Rfam family: tRNA
About the family: Transfer RNA (tRNA) molecules are approximately 80 nucleotides in length. Their secondary structure includes four short double-helical elements and three loops (D, anti-codon, and T loops). Further hydrogen bonds mediate the characteristic L-shaped molecular structure. tRNAs have two regions of fundamental functional importance: the anti-codon, which is responsible for specific mRNA codon recognition, and the 3' end, to which the tRNAs corresponding amino acid is attached (by aminoacyl-tRNA synthetases). tRNAs cope with the degeneracy of the genetic code in two manners: having more than one tRNA (with a specific anti-codon) for a particular amino acid; and 'wobble' base-pairing, i.e. permitting non-standard base-pairing at the 3rd anti-codon position.
Source: RNAcentral